Molecule: ribosomal RNA, 251 nt
Filed under: uncultured bacterium
Lineage: Bacteria
Description: partial 16S ribosomal RNA
Rfam family: Bacterial small subunit ribosomal RNA
Source: RNAcentral
GCAAGUCGAGGGGCAGCAGAACAUUUCGGUGUUGCUGGCGACCGGCGAACGGGUGCGUAACACGUAUGCAAUCUACCUUGUACUGGGGAAUAGCUCUCGGAAACGAGAAUUAAUACCCCAUAUAAUCCUAACAGCGCAUGCUAAUAGGAGGAAAGUUCCGGCGGUACAAGAUGAGCAUGCGUCCCAUUAGCUAGUUGGUAAGGUAACGGCUUACCAAGGCCACGAUAGGUAGGGGUUCUGAGAGGAAGAUC